Molecule: transfer RNA, 77 nt
Filed under: Lentisphaerota bacterium
Lineage: Bacteria; Pseudomonadati; Lentisphaerota
Description: Lentisphaerae bacterium (aquatic metagenome) tRNA-Arg
Rfam family: tRNA
About the family: Transfer RNA (tRNA) molecules are approximately 80 nucleotides in length. Their secondary structure includes four short double-helical elements and three loops (D, anti-codon, and T loops).
Source: RNAcentral
GCGCUCAUAGCUCAAUUGGAUAGAGCGUCAGCCUCCGGAGCUGAAGGUUGCAGGUUCGAGCCCUGCUGGGCGCACCA